CUUUCUUUUUCUGAUUUUUUCCCAUUCCACUUAUUUAUUUUACUUUUCCCCCCUCUUCUGUUAAUCUCUUUUCUCUCCCUGCAUGCUUUAUAUUCUUUCAUCUGCCCCUUUUUAUCUCCCCCAUGCAAGUUCUCUCACUUUUACAUUAAUAGGCUAGCCACAGGCUGUCAGCAAUUUAAGUUGGCUUUUUAUGGCAGUAAAGAUAAAUAAAAAUAUUCUUGAUAACUUUGAAUGACUUCUUCUAGUACACUGAGAUGGUGAAAGAGGAAGUCUGAGGUGAGCUUCUGAGGAAGACGGUUCUGCAAAGGUAAAGGUUGCAGUGUAUUCUGCAUUCUGUAUUCUGCAUUCUGUAUUCUGCAUUCUGUAUUCUGCAUUCUGAAAAUGUUAAAGAAGGAAUUUGAAGGAGCUGGACACACUAAACUUCUAAUACAGUGUGUCUCCUUGUCAAGUGCCUCUAGCAACCCAAAUAUUUAAUUGUUCUCAGUUACCAAACUCCUUAACUGUCUGCACUGAAGUCAUGAGAAAAUUUAUAGAACUGCCUCUGUGUAAUGUGAUUAUUAAAAGAUCUGACUGCAUCUGGAAAAACAACUGCAGAUCAAGCUUUUCUUCCUAUUCAAAAACUGCUUGCUGAAGGACCUUCCAGCUCUCUGUCAUCAUUUGGCAUUCUCAGUGUUUUUCACGACAGGAACAAUGCCUGUUGUGUUAGAUGGUCUGUCUGACAUCCCUAAGCUUCAUGACAGAGGUGAAUUGAAAGUUCUCCACACAAGCAUUUAAUUCUCUGUUCCAAAGAGCAGAAGAAGUUCCAUGGACUGUACCCAAAACAGCAGAGACUUCAGAAGAGAGGGAACAGUCCUGCUGGAGGUGUGGAAAGCAGAGCCUUUGUGGCACAGAGACUUGGUGGGAUAACCCACCGGUCCUUGGGCAGACUGGCAGGACCUGGCUGCCUGCAGAGCUCUGUCACCUCCCUGUUUUGAGGGCAUGCCAUUUCUCCAUUUGUAAGCGGAAGACCUUUUUCCCCUUUCUUUUUCCCCCAGACUUUGUAGCUGAGGGAGGAGCCCAGGAAUUAGAAACCCUUUGGUAUUUCAUUACUGGCACAUUGCUGGAAAAAUGCAGUCCUUUAGGCAGUGACCCAGUUAAGGGUCCUACUUCUGCAGAAAUUUGGUUGCUCCCACCUAUGCCUAGUGAGCCAUUCCUUGUCUCUCCCACACUCUCUGGAAGGUUCUAUCCCUCUCUUUGCAGGUAUAAAUCAAUACAAACAAGAACUGCAUAUUCCUUGCUAGUCAUUGCCUAG
This 1291-nucleotide long non-coding RNA is filed under the name Parus major (Great Tit). RNAcentral describes it as "lncRNA (ENSPMJG00000011232.1)". Lineage: Eukaryota; Metazoa; Chordata; Aves; Passeriformes; Paridae. The record is from RNAcentral.